AAGAAAAUAAUUUAAUUGGUAAAAUAUUGAUCUUCAAAAUCAACUAUAUAGGUUCAAAUCCUAUUUUUCUUG
This is a non-coding RNA of Tieghemiomyces parasiticus, 72 nucleotides long. The record is from the annotation of a GenBank genome assembly. NCBI's taxonomy places the organism in Eukaryota, Fungi, Kickxellomycota, Dimargaritomycetes, Dimargaritales, Dimargaritaceae.